Molecule: transfer RNA, 77 nt
Filed under: Bacteroidota bacterium
Lineage: Bacteria; Pseudomonadati; Bacteroidota
Description: Bacteroidetes bacterium (sediment metagenome) tRNA-Arg
Rfam family: tRNA
About the family: Transfer RNA (tRNA) molecules are approximately 80 nucleotides in length. Their secondary structure includes four short double-helical elements and three loops (D, anti-codon, and T loops). Further hydrogen bonds mediate the characteristic L-shaped molecular structure. tRNAs have two regions of fundamental functional importance: the anti-codon, which is responsible for specific mRNA codon recognition, and the 3' end, to which the tRNAs corresponding amino acid is attached (by aminoacyl-tRNA synthetases). tRNAs cope with the degeneracy of the genetic code in two manners: having more than one tRNA (with a specific anti-codon) for a particular amino acid; and 'wobble' base-pairing, i.e. permitting non-standard base-pairing at the 3rd anti-codon position.
Source: RNAcentral
GGUCCCGUAGCUUAACUGAAUAGAGCAUCUGACUACGGAUCAGAAGGUUGGGGGUUUGAAUCCCUCCGGGAUCACAA